This 255-nucleotide ribosomal RNA is filed under the name uncultured bacterium. Its description in RNAcentral is "partial 16S ribosomal RNA". It matches the Rfam family "Bacterial small subunit ribosomal RNA", at positions 524 to 776 of the family's 1533-position model. The record is from RNAcentral.
UACGGGGGGAGCAAGCGUUGUUCGGAUUUACUGGGCGUAAAGGGCGCGUAGGCGGUCGUGACAAGUCACUUGUGAAAUCUCCGGGCUUAACUCGGAACGGUCAAGUGAUACUGUCGGACUAGAGUACAGAAGGGGCAACUGGAAUUCUCGGUGUAGCGGUGAAAUGCGUAGAUAUCGAGAGGAACACCUGCGGCGAAGGCGGGUUGCUGGGCAGUUGCUGACACUGGAGGCGCGACAGCGUGGGGAGCAAACAGG